GGCUGUACUGGCAGCUGGUGCCUCUGGCAUUGUGGAGAGGAGGUGGGGGAGGGAGCGGGCACCAACAUCCUGGACUCUGGAGCCUGGCAUGAGAGCAGUGCCAUUCCUAGGUUAUAGAUGAGCUAAAUUAGCUGUGACGCUCAUUAGCGGCAGCUCCUAAUUAGUGAAAAUUAAUAUUGGCUUUGAUAAAGACGUCGGCGCCAGCUCUCCAAGGCAGAGGCAUUAUCAUCCUUGUCAGCUGGGCUAACGACUGGACGAGAAAAAUUGAGGCUCAGAGAGGUUGAGGAACUUGCCCUGGGACCUCUGGAUACCAGGAUUUGGGCCCAGGCAGCCUGACUCAAGAGCCAUGAUCCUGACUUUGGUAUUAUCCUGCCCUUCCCUUCAACCUCACCCCCAAAAGGGGCACUCUGGAUGCCAGCCCCAUCGUAUACCAGCACGUAACAUCAUAUCCGGCACACAAACCUGUACUUCCAUUUACAGCCCCUGAGUAAGUCCAGGACAAAGUCUCCAGGCUCUGUAUUCCAGAACACCGCCUCUCCAGUAGGGAAGACUCCGGGAGCAUCCUGCCUUCCCAGGCGGGAAUGGAGGCCAGGAGGCUUUGCCCAGACCUUGACUGUGCUAUUGCCAAGUGACCAGCUCUGGGGCCUGGCUCCUCUGCCACUUGGGAGAGGACUCGGCAGAUGGGCUUCCCUUCACCCCAGUCCCUGCUCCCCAGCCAGAGACCCUGAGUUCCAGCCCAGGGUAAUGAGGGGAAGUAACAGAUACACCUACUUUUAAUCCAAAUAAAGGAAAAAUGUUUGCCACCAUGGAGUUUAUAAAAAUAACAAUGCAUUAUUCGGGUAUUAAUAACAAUAAAGAUGUCAAA
Molecule: long non-coding RNA, 865 nt
Filed under: Homo sapiens (human)
Lineage: Eukaryota; Metazoa; Chordata; Mammalia; Primates; Hominidae
Description: HSALNT0358390
Source: RNAcentral